Molecule: unclassified non-coding RNA, 3098 nt
Filed under: Hevea brasiliensis (rubber tree)
Lineage: Eukaryota; Viridiplantae; Streptophyta; Magnoliopsida; Malpighiales; Euphorbiaceae
Source: RNAcentral
AAACGACGGCGUCUAAGUGUCUUGUAGAUUUAAACGGUGUAGUUUUAAUGAUUUACCUAUCUUGUUUCCGCAUGACGCGAGCUAGACGAACGCAAGCCCAGUAGCUCGCACAUCUGGAUCGCAGUGACUACUAUCCUUUGAUCCGAUUUUGUAUAUUCCAAUUUGAUGCGAGGAGAAGCUACUCGCUUGAUUUCGAUCUCAUACAAUAACGUAUCAUACAUUAUCUAGGAUUACCUGUAAGUUCCUAUAGAUGUAACAUCAUUUUCUUGGUUGUUUAUGCGAUUCUCUGGCUGGGUUCUGGAAGAGUAGUUAAUUUUCUCUUAUUUUUGCAAUAACCUUCAAAUGCCAAAUGCUGCUUUCUACAGUAUUAUUUUACUUUGGAAGUUGAGCUAAUCUGAAUAGUUUUUUUUCUCUCGCUCGCCAACUGUUUGAUCGAAGGUCUAUAUGUUUUCUUUGUGUUUUGGUUGUUCACCCAUAUCUGUUUAGGGUAGGUUUCAAAUGGCUUUGAGGAAGAUAAUGUGGCAAAAUCUUGCGGGAGAUUGCGGUAGAUGCAUUACGCACUUCAGAUUUUAUAGCUCCCAAAUUGUCUGGAAAGCUCUGCGGCCUAUGAUACUGAAGAGAAUAGAAAAACGGCCUAAGAACUAUCCUAUUCGGGACAUGGUUCCCGUUGCAAAAAAUGUCCUCAAGGCCAGAAUGCUUCUUAUUCAAGGCGUAUCCACUCUGAUCCAAGUAAUUCCCGUAGUUAAGUGCAAGUUCUGUCUAGAAGUUUAUAUUGGAGAGAAAGGUCAUUUAAUUCAGACUUGCUGGGGUUACAGCGGUGGGCCUAAAAAUCGGGUUCAUGAAUGGAUUACUGGUGGUUUAAAUGAUAUACUUGUUCCAGUAGAGACAUUUUGCCUGAAUGAUAAGUUCCAAAAGGUUAUUAAACAUGACCAAAGAUUCAAUUUUGGUCGUAUUCCUGCAGUUGUUGAGCUGUGCAGGCAGGCAGGUGCUGAUCUAACUACUGAGAAUUUGUACUCCGGUACAAGUAUUUCCCACAGUCGCCUCGGUGGCAUUGAUGGAGCUGAGUCUUUGUCACCUGGGGAUCUUAGCGUUGUAGCCAAUGGAACUUUGAGAGCAUGGGAGACUCUUAGAUCAGGGGUGCCAAAGUUGUUGUCCGUUUAUCCAGCAAAAGUUUGCAAGUACUGUUCAGAAAUUCAUAUAGGGCCAUCUGGACACAAUGCUCGCCUUUGUGGUAUGUUUAGGCAUGAGAAUUGGCGUGAAUCACACUUUUGGAAGAAGGCUGGAAUAGAUGACCUGGUGCCUCCGAAGAUUGUGUGGCGGCAACGACCUCAAGAUCCUCCAGUUCUCUCAAAUAAGGGGCGGGAGUUUUAUGGACAUGCACCAGCAGUGGUGGAUCUAUGCACAAAGGCUGGUGCUAUUGCACCAUCAAAGUAUUCUUGCAUGAUGAAAGUUCAGGGUUUGUCAGCACCAGUUUGAUUUUGAAGAUGUCCUAUGAGUGAACAUGUAGUGGGCUGGGCGUCAAGGUAUAAUGUUUUGGCAGUUGAGGCUUGGACCCUCUAGAGCUUAUCACUAAUCUAAAUUUGGGCCCAGAUAGACACAUGAGUCGUGAUUGAGUUGCUUUUCAGGUUGCUGGUAUUGCCUCCAACUUGGUUUUCGUUUCCCUUGCGAAGGACAUGGAAGAGGGGAACAUGUCAAGUAUCCGCUUGGGAUCAUGUCUUCUUAGGGUUAUUUUAGAUGUACAAUUCCAUUUCGGGAGUAAUAUUCCAUUUUCUUUACCCUAUAUAUAUAUAUAUAUAUUAUUUUGAGUUAUCAUGUAAAAAAAGCUAUAACUAUCCUUGGGCCUGUGUAAUAAUAAAUGGAAACUGAGAUAGAAAAUGAGAUAAACUAAUUUAUAAUUUUUUUUAAAGAAAUUUACUUUUUCUAUUAAAUUAAAUAAAAAAUUUUAAAAUAUAUAUUAAAAAAAUGAAAUAUAUAAUUAGAGUUUUUGUGUAGUCAAUAUUUUAUAUGCUAUAUUAAUUUUAAAAAAGAGAGAGUACAAAAUUUUAUCUGUUAUUAAAUACAAUAUAACUUUAAAGCAACAAUAAAAGCCACUAAAUGCAUUUGGCUUAAAUCUUUCUAUUUCUUGUGUAAUAAUCGACUUAGGAUGUAAAUAGUAAUCUUCUCAUAAAUAUAUUGUUUGAAAAAGUGAUGCUAUUCAACGUGGAAAUUCAUGCACUAAUUCAAUACACCAAGAAAUGUAGACAGUUGAAUGAAUGUGUCCCACUCAUUCCAGCGUGGGUCCCACUCAUUUAACGGUUCAAAUUACUUGUGUACUGAAUUUUUUUUACACAUUUCUCAUACAAUAACAUUUUCCAUUAAAGAAAAAUAAAAAGAAAAAAAAAGGUAAUAUGGACAGUGCCAAGUGGACAGAAAUCAAUUUAGAAGUGGCAAAAUGGUCUUCCUAUUGUUUUUUAGAACAGUAAAAGCGUUGGUUGUUUUAGUAUAUUAGUAUAAUUUCUAGGGGGAGCUCCAUUUUUCCCUGUUAAAACAUUUUCCCUCUUGAAAUACAAAGAAAAUUGUAGUACAAGGAGAGUGGAGGAGAAUAGGUCUUCUCAUUAAAUAAGCUUGGGAAGAAGAAAGGAACAUAUGAAAGCAAAUCAAAAGAAGAGGACUUUCUGAUUAUAUUGGUCUGAAGAAACUCCCAUUACUGUCUUUUAAUUAUGUAAUUUUAUCAUUCUUAAAUUCAUAAUGCCUUUUGAAGUUGAAUCUAAAACUUCAACCUGCAUAUCUGAUUUCACACUAAUAUCAUUCUCAGACAUCAUGGUGUGUCUGGAUAUAAUUAAUAAUUUUCCAUUAGUGAUUUUGCCUUUCUGGUCUUGGAUUUAAACUAUCCAUGUUCCUCUCUGCUGCAAGGGUUUUGAAUUUGUUACCUUCUAUUUGACUUGCUUAUUUGAUGUAGUGGAUGAAGGAAGUUAUUCAUUAAAAUUCAUAAUUACCUUUGUUUCUGUUUAUGAAUAGAAGUUAAAAUCAUUAGUUUUUACCAUUCCCCUGUCCAUCCUUCCUUCUCUCAUCCUUUUUCUUUUGAAAUGUGAUUUAGUGAACAGCAACCUUUACGACUG